UUUUGAUAAUGCGCUUAACAAGUAUUCAUGCCUGAAUCUAAACUUAAACUCAAACACAGCCUGAAAACUUCAAACCCAUUAACCUCGCCUUAAUACCAACAGUAAUGAGAUACAGAUAAUCAGCACAAGUCCACUCAAAUCCAGAAAUCAACACCCAAAACAUCUUAAAGGCAUGAAUUCACUUCUACAUCAUAUCAAUAACAUAAGAUAACCAAAUUAGCAUGUACAACACAUAGCCUAUUACAGAACAUUCAAAGAAAACAAAUAAAAAGGAACCCGAAACAGUUUAUAUUCAAUCAGGCUUCUGUUGGAAACACAUGUCCUUAGCUACUUGUUGACAGUGGUUUGAAGUAAUACCUGGUAUGGAACAAGGAAAAACAAAAGAGGUGAAGAAUCAGCGGUAAACAGUAGCAGGAAUCAGCUUGAACCCAGCAGUGAAAUAGUGCCAAAAAUCCAGCAAAUUCAGCCUCAAAUUUACAAACUAACACAGAUGUUUAGAACCCCAAAUGCACCAUUUAUACUGAACCCUUUAAAUCUGACUGUUUGACAAGGAAAUUAAACUUGAAAUCAAACAGAAAACUCCAACAAUUUUCAGUAUUCUUCUUAAAGAAAAAUUCCAGCCGUUUGCUUUUUUUUUUUCCAGUACUUUUUUAUCUCUUCCCGUCUCUGCCUUGAAAGGCAAGAAAACAUGCCUUUAUAUGCAAGGAAAUAAGGUAGCUUAAAGAAAAUCAAGUUUGCACUUUGCACCUGCUUGAAUUUUGGUUUUUGCUUAGAAAUUCUUAGUGUGAAGAUUAGUAUUUCAGAUAAGUCCUUACCCCAGCUUCUAGGAAGCUUCCUAUUUCAGUUAUUCAGAGAUUCUUCACCUAGAUUUCCCAAUUUACCCUUUUAAACCCUGUUAAUUACCCCUGGGCCAGGCAGAGCUAUGGAUCAAAUUGACCCCAUUUGAAAUGUUGAUGGGUCAAGUUUGACCCCAACACUUAACAGGCCCCUAUGAAGGAUUCGAAAAUGUCCUCAAAGCCCAAACAAUAUCGAAAGCUCAAACAAAAUUACUUGAAUUUUUUCAUAACUAAAAUAAGCUCAACAGGCUGAUCUUUUUUUAAAUUAAAACGACAAGCUACAAAUAAACCACAUACUCUAAUUAACCUGAGCCAAUCAUAUGACUGAACAACCAGAACAGAACUUGAACGGGCAACAUGCAUAAACUAAAACGGGAUCUUCAAGAACUUCUACGAGAAAAUUUGAAAGGCUCACGGCGUAAAUACAAACACCAUAUAAACACAGAAACUUAUAAUCAACGCUUUAAUACUUUACCAAAUUAAAAUCAAGAAAUCUAACUAAGGAGAUACCGGAGGAAAGGGAGAGAGACAACGAGAACGAACAGAAAAGAGAAGAAGUAGAAAGAUAGAAAAAGAAAAAAAAUGAAGAAAAUACCUACCAAAGUUCGGACAGUGUAGACUGGAACCCGAAUCUUCAAAUCUUCGGAUUUUCGGCCAAAUCUAAUAUUAAUCAUGUGUUCUUGUAAAGAACACACGAAUAAUGUCAUAUUAGACCUAAAUCUCUCACAGAAACUCGAUUUGGGAUUUUUGAAUUUUUAGGGUUCAUCUUCAAAUCCAGAUUCGACGAGUCUGGUGAAGAUUCGAGGAAAACCAAUCAGGGAUUUGGAACGAGGGGGUCGUGGUGGUCUUGUGGUGUAAUUUUGGUGGUGAACGGAGGUGAAACCGCCAGGUUCGAGGUGGGGAAAAUGGAGGCGGCGCUAAGGGUUUCUGUCUCUGAAGAGGGGUGGAGUCGAGAGAGACGAUGAGAGAGG
RNAcentral lists this long non-coding RNA (1807 nucleotides) under Nicotiana tabacum (common tobacco). RNAcentral describes it as "long non-coding RNA (NTAB_LNC008279)". Lineage: Eukaryota; Viridiplantae; Streptophyta; Magnoliopsida; Solanales; Solanaceae. The record is from RNAcentral.